CAGCAGUCGCCACGGGAAUACGUAGGGUGCGAGCGUUAAUCGGAAUUACUGGGCGUAAAGCGUGCGCAGGCGGUUAUAUAAGACAGAUGUGAAAUCCCCGGGCUCAACCGUGGAGGGUCAUUGGAAACUGUUAAACUUGAGUGCAGGAGAGAAAAGUGGAAUUCCUAGUGUAGCGGUGAAAUGCGUAGAGAUUAGGAGGAACACCGAUGGCGAAGGCAGCCCCCUGGGCCAAUACUGACGCUCAUGCACGAAAGCGUGGGGAGCAAACAGGAUUAGAUACCCCAGUAGUCCCUGUCUCUUAUAC
RNAcentral lists this ribosomal RNA (304 nucleotides) under uncultured bacterium. RNAcentral's name for it is "partial 16S ribosomal RNA". It matches the Rfam family "Bacterial small subunit ribosomal RNA", at positions 506 to 807 of the family's 1533-position model. The record is from RNAcentral.